CUAAAAAUGACGAGAUGAGGAGGCCAGGCACUGGUGGAGGGCCCGGGUGAAGGAGUUCACCAUCCCGGAAGGCAUUCUCCUUGAGCAUUUUGGGGAUUCCGCCUCUCUUGCAGGGGUCCCCAAUGCAAUCGACACUGAUGCUCCAGAGGGUACCCUAUUACCCAGUAUCAUAGAUUUGGGCAAGAUUCCAACAGAUGGAGCCACAAGCUUGACAUUUACAUUAGAUGAAAGAGGU
Dreissena polymorpha is the source of this 235-nucleotide long non-coding RNA. RefSeq lists it as uncharacterized. The transcript is spliced from 3 exons. The record is from RefSeq and is a predicted model, not a curated record. NCBI's taxonomy places the organism in Eukaryota, Metazoa, Mollusca, Bivalvia, Myida, Dreissenidae.